Molecule: non-coding RNA, 70 nt
Organism: Physocladia obscura
Lineage: Eukaryota; Fungi; Chytridiomycota; Chytridiomycetes; Chytridiales; Chytriomycetaceae
Source: the annotation of a GenBank genome assembly
GUUAGUGGUGUAAUGGUAGCAUACCAGGUUCAGGGCCUGAGGGAGAGGGUUCGAUUUCCUUCGAGAAACA